This 269-nucleotide ribosomal RNA is filed under the name uncultured prokaryote. Its description in RNAcentral is "partial 16S ribosomal RNA". It matches the Rfam family "Bacterial small subunit ribosomal RNA", at positions 524 to 792 of the family's 1533-position model. The record is from RNAcentral.
UUCAGAGGUCCCGAGCGUUGUUCGGAUUUACUGGGCGUAAAGGGAGCGUAGGCGGUUCGGUAUGUCGAAUGUGAAAGCCCACAACUCAACUGUGGAAAUGCAUUCGAAACUGCCGGGCUAGAGUACUGGAGAGGAGAGCGGAAUUCUUGGUGUAGCGGUGAAAUGCGUAGAUAUCAAGAGGAACACCGGUGGCGAAGGCGGCUCUCUGGACAGAUACUGACGCUGAGGCUCUAAAGUUAGGGGAGCAAACAGGAUUAGAUACUCGGGUA